AGACAGACUUUCCUGGAGCAGCACACAGCAGCUAAUUUCCAAUCCGUCUUUCUGCAAUGAAACUUCUUUGGUCAAUACUCAUUGUCCUAUCUGCCUCCUCCUCAUGUGUCCUCUCACAAGUGGUUCUGACCUAGGCAGAUUCGGUGUUAACAAAACCUGGAGAAUCCCAUAAGUUGGCCUGUGCCACCAGUGGAAUCACUCUUAGCACCACCUGGAUGGAGUGGGUCAGACAGAAGCCAGGCAAAGGAUUGGAAUGGCUUGUUGAGUAUCUUAAUGCUGGGAGCAACUAUUAUUCCCCUACUAUCCAGGGGCGAUUCACUGCCUCUAAGGACAGCACCAACUUCUAUCUGCAAAUGAACAACCUCAAAGCAGAAGACACUGCAGUCUAUUACUGUGCAAGCGACACAGUGAAAGGGAUCCCAGCAGACCUCUGACAAAAUCCCUUGGCUGCAUGAACUUGAGAACAAAGUCACCAGAGGGGGCAGAGGAAAGCCACAAAUGAGAGACUUGUAAUAUAGAAGGGCUAUACAAAAAGACAGGAAGAUUAAUCACUUUGUGCUUACACCCAGAUUCAAUCUUUGAGUGUGUACAAGUAUAUAUACAUAGAUGCUUAUUUCAGUUUGUUUCAGGUGUUCAAUAAAAAAAUGUUCAUUCAAAUGAUCGAACAAAAUAAAAACAGAUCGUUAUAAA
Anolis carolinensis (green anole) is the source of this 690-nucleotide long non-coding RNA. RefSeq lists it as uncharacterized. NCBI's taxonomy places the organism in Eukaryota, Metazoa, Chordata, Lepidosauria, Squamata, Anolidae. The transcript is spliced from 2 exons. The record is from RefSeq and is a predicted model, not a curated record.